AUACGUAGGGGGCGAGCGUUGUCCGGAAUUACUGGGCGUAAAGGGCGUGUAGGCGGCCUGUUAAGUCAGGCGUGAAAACCCCGGGCUUAACCUGGGGACUGCGUUUGAAACUGGCGGGCUUGAGGGCAGGAGAGGAAAGUGGAAUUCCCGGUGUAGCGGUGAUAUGCGUAGAUACCGGGAGGAACACCAGUGGCGAGGGCGGCUUUCUGGACUGCACCUGACGCUGAGGCGCGAAAGCCAGGGGAGCGAACGGGAUUAGAUACCCCGGUAGUCCUGGCCGUAAACGAUGGGUACUAGGUGUGGGAGGUAUCGACUCCUUCCGUGCCGGAGUUAACGCAUUAAGUACCCCGCCUGGGGAGUACGUGCGCAAGCAUGAA
This 377-nucleotide ribosomal RNA is filed under the name uncultured bacterium. RNAcentral describes it as "bacterial SSU rRNA". It matches the Rfam family "Bacterial small subunit ribosomal RNA", at positions 523 to 898 of the family's 1533-position model. The record is from RNAcentral.